AACACGGCCCAGUCCAUCACGCAAACCAGCCUUCUAUCCAUUGACUCCGUGUAUACUUCCCGCUGCCUUGAAAAAGCAACCAUCAUAAUCAAAAACUCAUCCCACACCGGUUAUACCCUCUUCCACCCUCUUCCAUCGGGCAGAAGAUAUAAAAGUUUGAAUACAGAGCCUCAGCAACUAUUCACCUGAGGAUUAGUUAGAAUCGAUACAAGUCUUCAAUGUAUGAAAAAGACUCCAGUACUGAACUCUUACUUCAUACAGGGUAAACAGCUGAGUGGGUCAGAAGAGGCCACGUUUCAAUACCUAUCUGAGACACAGCGUCUAUGGAGUACUCCCUCAUUUUCGCACUGAGGCUUCAACGUAGAUUUGAUGCUCAAAUCAUUGGACUGAGACAUCCAGACAUUCUAAUCUAGGAGUUAGAAACAAUAAGCCAGAGCUGAAACGAACUAUGACUGCACCUGAAGAAAGUGAGACUUCACUGAUUUGUUU
Rhincodon typus (whale shark) is the source of this 489-nucleotide long non-coding RNA. RefSeq lists it as uncharacterized. The transcript is spliced from 4 exons. The record is from RefSeq and is a predicted model, not a curated record. NCBI's taxonomy places the organism in Eukaryota, Metazoa, Chordata, Chondrichthyes, Orectolobiformes, Rhincodontidae.